AACAUCAGUUAUAUAUCUCUAUUAAAACACCCCAUAUGCUUGACAUGUGAGGGUAAUUUGAUCAUUUCAGUCCAUCUGAUUAUAAAAAGAGUUAAAUACCUGAUAGGUUUCACCCCACCUCCUUCUUCUUCCCCAAACCACCACCACCAUUUCGUAAAGGAAGACAUUAGAUAUGUUGAUGUUCAACAUUAUGCUAAAGAACUCAAAAAUCAAUAUAAAUGACACACAGUCACAGACACACCUUGAGGUGGCUUCUUAUGGUGGUGGCCAUGGCGGCGUUGACCGAGCAGGUACCGCCGAUCAAAGAGCUGAAAGAUCCCAUUCAUGCAUCCCAAUUGCUUUUGCAACUCAUGUGUAUCUUCUCCUAAGGUCGUUAGGUACUUACUGGAGCUUGCACGGAGGACUGGUUGUUGUGGGAGAAGAACCAUUAUUGGGUUCUUAUGAAACUUCAUGAACUUUUAAACUUUUGAUUUGGGUUUUAGACAUUAUGCUUCCGCUGGCACUUAAAUUUGGUUUUGGAUAUUUGUUUUCGUAAACACUAAUCGUAUUGAUUGCGCUGGACUUUAUUUA
Molecule: long non-coding RNA, 570 nt
Organism: Helianthus annuus (common sunflower)
Lineage: Eukaryota; Viridiplantae; Streptophyta; Magnoliopsida; Asterales; Asteraceae
Exons: 2
Source: RefSeq, a predicted model, not a curated record